Molecule: ribosomal RNA, 497 nt
Filed under: uncultured bacterium
Lineage: Bacteria
Description: partial 16S ribosomal RNA
Rfam family: Bacterial small subunit ribosomal RNA
Source: RNAcentral
GAUGAACGCUGGCGGCGUGCCUAAUACAUGCAAGUCGAGCGAACGGACGAGAAGCUUGCUUCUCUGAUGUUAGCGGCGGACGGGUGAGUAACACGUGGAUAACCUACCUAUAAGACUGGGAUAACUUCGGGAAACCGGAGCUAAUACCGGAUAAUAUUUUGAACCGCAUGGUUCAAAAGUGAAAGACGGUCUUGCUGUCACUUAUCGAUGGAUCCGCGCUGCAUUAGCUAGUUGGUAAGGUAACGGCUUACCAAGGCAACGAUGCAUAGCCGACCUGAGAGGGUGGUCGGCCACACUGGAACUGAGACACGGUCCAGACUCCUACGGGAGGCAGCAGUAGGGAAUCUGCCGCAAUGGGCGAAAGCAUGACGGAGCAACGCCGCGUGAGUGAUGAAGGUCUUCGGAUCGUAAAACUCUGUUAUUAGGGAAGAACAUAUGUGUAAGUAACUGUGCACAUCUUGACGGUACCUAAUCAGAAAGCCACGGCUAACUACGUG